Molecule: small nuclear RNA, 64 nt
Filed under: Neogale vison (American mink)
Lineage: Eukaryota; Metazoa; Chordata; Mammalia; Carnivora; Mustelidae
Source: RNAcentral
GGAGAAGAUUAGCAUGGCCCCUGCUCAGGAGGGCAUGCAAACUCAUGAAAUGUUCCAUAGUUUU